GUGCUUGACUUGGCUGCACACAUUGGAAUGAAAAUGGGUACAAUUCGGUAAAGGUCAUCAGGGCCUUGCACAAGAACAGCAUGCAAAUUCAUCGAGGUUCCCUGUCUU
This 108-nucleotide small nuclear RNA is filed under the name Cervus elaphus hippelaphus. Lineage: Eukaryota; Metazoa; Chordata; Mammalia; Artiodactyla; Cervidae. The record is from RNAcentral.